Molecule: ribosomal RNA, 253 nt
Filed under: uncultured bacterium
Lineage: Bacteria
Description: partial 16S ribosomal RNA
Rfam family: Bacterial small subunit ribosomal RNA
Source: RNAcentral
UACGUAGGGCGCGAGCGUUAAUCGGAAUUACUGGGCGUAAAGCGUGCGCAGGCGGUUUGAUAAGCCAGAUGUGAAAUCCCCGAGCUCAACUUGGGAACUGCGUUUGGAACUGGCAGACUAGAUUGCGUCAGAGGGGGGUGGAAAUCCGCGUGUAGCAGUGAAAUGCGUAGAGAUGCGGAGGAACACCGAUGGCGAAGGCAGCCCCCUGGGAUGACACUGACGCUCAUGCACGAAAGCGUGGGGAGCAAACAGG